CCCGCGCUCGGGGCCUGAGUCGGCGGGAGCGCGGCCAGGGAAAGCCGGGGGGCCCCGGCGCCCGCCCCGAGACCCGCCCGCGCCCUCGGCCCGCGCGUUCCCUCCCGCCGCGUGCGGUUGGCACAGCGCCUAGGCCGGUGCCCGCUGCUGGGCCUUUCAUCUUCGUCGAGAGCCGCGCUCGCCAAACACCGCCUCCGGUCCCUCCAGCCGGGACUGUGGGCAAACGAGCGAAAAGCCAAUCAGCCAGUAACUGGGAGGGAAACGUAAAAGGAAAGGCCAAUGGGGUCCAGUUUCUGCUGACGCGCCAUUUAGCUUCAGAGCAUAUGCUCAGCGUGUCCGCGUCCCUGUGUUGAAUCUGAAAACGUGGGCUCUUGGAAGCUGCCUUUGGUAGGAGCGCUGCUUACCGUCUCAUCCCUAACUUUUCACUUAUUCAGCAAAUACUUGUUGAGUUCCUAUUUUCUGGAAAAGAUUGGGUUAGACACUGGAACUAAUACAAACAAAGAACUGGCUCAUGUGAAAAUGGGAGCUGAGUCCCAGGACAUGCCGUCAGCAAGCUGGAGACCCAGGAGAGCUGAUGGUAUGAAUUCUAGUCCAAAAGCUGGCAGACUCAAGACUCAAGAAGAGCUGAUAUUUCUGGCUGAGUCUGAAGGUUGGAAAAAAAGCAACAUUCCAGUUUAAGCAGUCAGUAACUUCUUUCUAAAGAAGGGGGAAAAAGUAACUUUAAAGUGGAGAAACAUGACAAACAUCAGCUCAACCAGGUGAUUAAGGUCAAUGUCAACAGUGGAGCUGGCCAGUGGGAUCCAUUCCAGCUGGUGCUGUGUUUGACAAGUUCCUGUUUUUCAUAAAUGUGUCCUGGGUUCUGGCCCAAGACGUCCCAGACUCACCUUGUGUCUAUUCUUCUCAAGACUUGGAAUCAGCCAAUUCUGCAAGGAACAGCUAGACGUCACUUUAAACUGAAAACUCUGAAUUCCUUAUUAAAGCAUUUUCUUGAGAGAGUUUUGGGAAUAGCAAGCCUGCUGAGUAAAGAGUUGAAAGCAUCUAUUUUGACUGUUAGCUGUAAUGGUCACUGAAAACAAUAUGUUUAUCUUUUUAACAAAGACUAUCACAGUCAAAAUCUGCGUUAAAUCAUAGCUUGUUGUGCUCCUAUUCUUUCAACCUAAAUAAACAAAAAUUUAAAAUA
Long non-coding RNA from Prionailurus viverrinus (fishing cat), 1180 nucleotides. RefSeq lists it as uncharacterized. The record is from RefSeq and is a predicted model, not a curated record. The transcript is spliced from 4 exons. Lineage: Eukaryota; Metazoa; Chordata; Mammalia; Carnivora; Felidae.